AGGUGCGAUCAUACCAGCACUAAUGCACCGGAUCCCAUCAGAACUCCGCAGUUAAGCGUGCUUGGGCGAGAGUAGUACUAGGAUGGAUGACCUCCUGGAAAGUCCUUGUGUUUAACCUC
RNAcentral lists this ribosomal RNA (119 nucleotides) under Medicago truncatula (barrel medic). The record is from RNAcentral. Lineage: Eukaryota; Viridiplantae; Streptophyta; Magnoliopsida; Fabales; Fabaceae.